This 442-nucleotide ribosomal RNA is filed under the name uncultured bacterium. Its description in RNAcentral is "partial 16S ribosomal RNA". It matches the Rfam family "Bacterial small subunit ribosomal RNA", at positions 338 to 795 of the family's 1533-position model. The record is from RNAcentral.
CCUACGGGUGACAGCAGUGGGGAAUAUUGGGCAAUGGGCGCAAGCCUGACCCAGCAACGCCGCGUGAAGGAAGAAGGCUUUCGGGUUGUAAACUUCUUUUGUCAGGGAAGAGUAGAGGACGGUACCUGACGAAUAAGCCACGGCUAACUACGUGCCAGCAGCCGCGGUAAUAGGUAGGUGGCAAGCGUUGUCCGGAUUUACUGGGUGUAAAGGGCGUGUAGCCGGGUUGACAAGUCAGAGGUGAAAUCCUGCGGCUUAACCGCAGAACUGCAUUUGAAACUGUUGAUCUUGAGUACUGGAGAGGCAGACGGAAUUCCUAGUGUAGCGGUGAAAUGCGUAGAUAUUAGGAGGAACACCAGUGGCGAAGGCGGUCUGCUGGACAGCAACUGACGGUGAGGCGCGAAAGCGUGGGGAGCAAACAGGAUUAGAUACCCCGGUAGUC